GCGAGCGUAACUCAGUUGGUAGAGUGUCAGCUUCCCAAGCUGGAUGUCGCGGGUUCGAUCCCCGUCGCUCGCUCCA
RNAcentral lists this transfer RNA (76 nucleotides) under Ignavibacteriales bacterium. RNAcentral's name for it is "tRNA-Gly". It matches the Rfam family "tRNA". Rfam says of the family: Transfer RNA (tRNA) molecules are approximately 80 nucleotides in length. Their secondary structure includes four short double-helical elements and three loops (D, anti-codon, and T loops). Further hydrogen bonds mediate the characteristic L-shaped molecular structure. tRNAs have two regions of fundamental functional importance: the anti-codon, which is responsible for specific mRNA codon recognition, and the 3' end, to which the tRNAs corresponding amino acid is attached (by aminoacyl-tRNA synthetases). tRNAs cope with the degeneracy of the genetic code in two manners: having more than one tRNA (with a specific anti-codon) for a particular amino acid; and 'wobble' base-pairing, i.e. permitting non-standard base-pairing at the 3rd anti-codon position. RNAcentral also lists the same sequence under 1 other name. Lineage: Bacteria; Pseudomonadati; Ignavibacteriota; Ignavibacteria; Ignavibacteriales. The record is from RNAcentral.